This 2289-nucleotide long non-coding RNA is filed under the name Homo sapiens (human). RNAcentral's name for it is "HSALNT0330037". The record is from RNAcentral. Lineage: Eukaryota; Metazoa; Chordata; Mammalia; Primates; Hominidae.
AGUAGAUACCGUGUUUUUGGAGAGAGGAAAACAUUUCUUAAAUGUCUGGAAGAAUACAAAUACAAAUAUUUAUAGCAGAUGUCUCCAGAUGGGAGGUUAAUGGAUAGUGUUUAUUUCCUUUUUGCUUUUCUUUUUUCAAUUGUCUUGGAAGAAUAUGUAGUACUCCUAUCAACAAGAACAAUCACAAAAAGAAACUCCCUUCCUUGAUUGAAAUCUUUUCAGACACUGGUUUGACACUUUUCAGCUAUAAAGAGGGGCAAAUAACACUGUCUUCUGGCUACAUGAUUCCCCCCUGGGCUUAGAGUUCAAAGCUCAUUGAUUCUAUUUUUACCUGAGGACAUUCUGACCCAUCUUUGGUACCACAUGUCAGGAUCCCCUUCCAGGACCUGAUGGUCUUGCCCUAGGGAGCAAUUGGAUCACAGAGUCUCUCUGGGAGGAGGGGGAGGGUAUGUGUGAUGGAUGAGGGUUAGUCUCUUAAGUUCCAAAUCCAACAGACCCUGGGUAAAAUAUUUUUGAAGGAUAUAUCAGCCUUCUAGGAAGAUCUGAAUUUGUCCUAAUGCCUCACAGGACAUAUCAACCAGAGAACUCUGAGCAAGUCCUCAUUCAGCUGAGAGUCUUCCCCGUGACCCAUAGUUUGGCAAGUCUCUUCCUGUCGCGGCUACCCAUGUGGAUUUCUGACCAGACAAUUAUGGAAGCUGUUCUCUGGUUCUCUCAGAAUUCUUCCUGAUUCUCUGCUCUUUUCAUGACUUUGGUAGUCACCCAGUACUAAGGUACAGAGAGCUAGAGUAGCCAUGCACAAAUGUGCAGAUCUGGCCCCAGAAUAGUAAGUGGACCAUUUUCCUUUCAUAGCUUAUGGUUGGGGGUUGGGGGAACUUCAGUGCACUUUUAACUAGGGCAAAGCCUGGAAUAUGGUGUAGUGGUUAGGAGAACAGGUUCAUAUCACAUAUACACCGUGAAUCCUAACUCUGGCUCUUACUGGCCAUGUAACGUUGAACAAGUCCUUUGGGUCUUCAUUUUUCCACCUCUAAAAUGAAGAUAAUAAAGGUGCCUACCUCAAGGUUUACUGUAAAGAUGAAAACAGAAGAUGUAUAGAACCCACUCUUAACACUGGUUUGGGCAUAACUGGAUCAGUUAGGGAUUUAGGGUUGCAAACUAUACUAGGUUGAGUAGUGUCACUUUAAAAUCCAUGUUCACCUGGAACCUCUGAAUGUGACUUCAUUUGGAAAUAGAGUCUUUACAAUGUAGUCAAAUUAAAAUAAAGUCAAUCCUUAUUUAUAAGAAGAGAGAGAUUUGGACACAGACACACAAAGGAGAAGGCCAUGUGAAGACAGAAGCAGAGACUGGAGUGACACAUCUGCAAGCCAAGGAGCACCAACGAUUGCCAGCAACCCCCAGAAGCCAGGAAAGAGACAGGGAACAGAUUUUUCCCUCGGACCCCCCAAAAGGAACCAACUCUGCCAACACUUUGGUUUCACACCUCUAACCUCCAGAAUUCUCCCAUGAGAAAAUAAUUCCUGUUGUUUUAAGCCACCCAGUUUGUGGUAUUUUGCUAUGGCAGCCCUAGGAAACGAAUAUAUAAGCCAACAUUGAAUUUCAUUAGAAGGCCAUGGGAUAGCUCCCGGAAUCAAUGAGCCAGGUAAAAGCCAAGCCCAGAAAGGGACAAGACGCACUGUUAUUAGGUGCUAGCUGACAGUCCAAUCAGCUUUAAAUGUUUUUAUCCUUGUGUUAUCCCCAUCUGAGAAUUGAUGUUUCAGUGGAAGCAGCUCAAUUUGCUCAGCUUGUAUCAUGUGCCUACUUCUUGACCAGGCCCACGGUUCUCUGAAUGAUAGUCCUACCAAUAUGGUGCAUAAUAAGGAAGGGAUAAUUUCCUAAAUUUACUAUUGGGGUGCAGUUACCAGGAAAAUUCAAAAAAAUAUCAUUACAAUGCACUUAGUAAAUCUUAGCUAUUAAUACUACUGUUAUUUAAAAAAAAUUAUCCUUCAACCCGCAUCAACGCUCAGGACACCAACCACACUUCCUGAGGAUUCCCUGGUUGUCCACUUGAGAGCCCAUUCUAGUGACAAGGGGAGGAAAAAGGAUAUGGGGAGAAAUACAAUAUUCUUUACAAUUGGCAUGAAUUCUGAAUGAAAGGCCAUGGAUAGGGUUCAAGGUGAUCUCGAAUGUUGUGUUGUAAUUUUUGUUCCCUAGUUGUGUUUCCAUGUUGUGACUGCUCAUAGUGUUUUAAAUUAAUUGUCUUAGAAGAAAACUUAAAGGUAAUAUAUUACUGUGUACACUCAUUAUCUGCACUGU